AUGUCCGUCCCCGUGGAUAGCUCUAGCCCGCGGAAGAAAGGCCGCACUUCAUCGCCUGUCCGGUCUUCCCCUUCUCCCCACAGCGACGGCAGGACGGCGGUCGAGAGACUCACCGACGACCUCCUCGUGGAGAUCCUCUCGCGCGUCCCGGUCAAGUCGCUCUGCCGCUUCAAGUGCGUCUCCAACCACUGUCUGGCCCUCAUCGACCACCCCGAACACCGCAAGAAGCUCCCCCAGACACCGGCCGGCUUCUUCUACGGCAGCGCCAUCACUAGCGACUGGCUUCUGAAAUCCCCUGUCCACUUCACCGAUUUCCCGGGGAGACGCUCCCCUCCGUUCGACACCUCUUGCACCUUCCUGCCCGACCAUCGGCGCGUCGAACUAUUGGACUGCUGCAACGGCCUCCUCCUCUGCCGCUGGUAUGACGUUUCUGCCCAGGGUGACGAGUUCCACUAUAUCGUGUGCAAUCCCGCCACGGAGAAGUGGGUCGUGUUGCCAGACUCCGGCAAGGCCGCCAGCGAGGUGGCCACCACACGUUUGGGCUUUGAUUCGGCUGUGUCGAUGCAUUUCUAUGUGUUUGAGUUGGUAAAUGAGCAGGAGUUUUUUUGGGAUCCUGACAUUGUCGGAGUGGCAGUGUAUUCGUCUGAAACCGGAGGAUGGGUUUAUAAGGAAAAGAAAUGGAACUCACAAAUCAGGCUCAUUGAUCAUCGGUUUGCAUCUGUCUUUCUUAAUGGCUAUCUACAUUUUGAAGCCGAUUGUCGCGGAUCGUCCCCUUGUCUAGCUGUGGUGGACACGGAGGGGGAAACAUGGAUGAACUUCGGUUUCCCUGAUGGUCUGUUUGAUGGUUUUAUUCAGCGGUCACAGGGCCGCCUGCAUUAUGCCAAUUUUCAGGGAGAUGAAGAUGGUUCUACCACCCUAGUAGUUUAUGUUCUUGAGAACUAUCAAAGCAAAGAAUGGAUAUUGAAGCAUAGCGUCGAAAUUCCAUACAUAUUUGAAGCACCUCUACUUGAGUGGGUAGAUUUCCGCCUCGACAGGGACUUUGAUUGGAUUGCGAUUCAUCCAGAAUGCAACAUGAUAUUCUUCACUACUUGUUGGCAUGCCACAUUCACGUGCUAUAAUAUGGAUAGCGGGCAAGUCAAACUGAUAUCUGGUCUUGAAGUUCACAAGCCGCCAUAUAUGCCGUAUGUGCCGCUGUAUGUAGAGUUACAGUCAUUGCACAUUUGA
Molecule: ribosomal RNA, 1224 nt
Filed under: Triticum aestivum (bread wheat)
Lineage: Eukaryota; Viridiplantae; Streptophyta; Magnoliopsida; Poales; Poaceae
Description: partial small subunit ribosomal RNA
Source: RNAcentral